This 507-nucleotide ribosomal RNA is filed under the name uncultured bacterium. RNAcentral describes it as "bacterial SSU rRNA". It matches the Rfam family "Bacterial small subunit ribosomal RNA", at positions 29 to 509 of the family's 1533-position model. The record is from RNAcentral.
AACGAACGCUGGCGGCGUGGAUUAGGCAUGCAAGUCGUACGCGAAAGAGGGAGCAAUCCCUCGAGUAGAGUGGCGAACGGGUGAGUAACGCGUGAGAAACCUGCCCUAAGCAGGGGGAUAACACUCCCAACGGGGUGCUAAUACCGCAUGAGACCACGGGAUCGCAUGAUCCUGAGGUCAAAGGUGGCCUCUGCUUGCAAGCUACCGGCUUAGGAUGGUCUCGCGUCCCAUUAGCUAGUUGGCGGGGUAAUGGCCCACCAAGGCGACGAUGGGUAGCUGGUCUGAGAGGAUGGUCAGCCACACUGGGACUGAGAUACGGCCCAGACUCCUACGGGAGGCAGCAGUCGAGAGGCUUCGGCAAUGGGGGAAACCCUGACCGAGCGACGCCGCGUGAGGGAUGAAGGCCCCUGGGUUGUAAACCUCUUUUGUUCGGGAAGAAACGCGAUCAGGUAAAUAAUCUGGUCGCCUGACGGUACCGGACGAAUAAGCUCCGGCUAACUCCGUGCC